GAAAGGGGUGCGUGCGCGUUUGUGCUAAAACAAGAAAGGCAAGAAUCUCCGAGAACAAAACUCUGGUCCUCGCCUGGCCGGGGACCGCAGAAGACAGGGGCGGCAGCGCCAAGGCGGGUCAGGGGCCGGUCCAGCCAAGUUUGCUCCGGCUUAGAUAAACUUUCUGAUGGCAGUUUUUCCUGGUUGCAGCCUGGGUUCCUUGUAACAGGAUGGAGACGAGAGAUCUGGACUUCUGAACAUCUACCGGAAAAGAUAAAAUGUGCAAGCCCUUCAGAACGCUGGGGAGGUUGGGCUGAACUGCAGUGGGAGAGGAGAAGAGAUGCUGGCGUGAAGGGGAUUGAUUGCUGAUUACCAUGGAGAAGCAGGCAAGGGAUUAUGAAGAGAAAGACAGGAGGGAUAUCUUAAAAGCUUUCAUUGUGGUCUGAUGGGAGCAGAUCUGGA
Molecule: long non-coding RNA, 441 nt
Filed under: Homo sapiens (human)
Lineage: Eukaryota; Metazoa; Chordata; Mammalia; Primates; Hominidae
Description: non-protein coding lnc-SLC24A3-1:10
Source: RNAcentral